CCAAUGCGGAGGAAAAGAAACCAACCGGGAUUGCCUUAGUAACGGCGAGUGAAGCGGCAAAAGCUCAAAUUUGAAAUCUGGUACCUUCGGUGCCCGAGUUGUAAUUUGGAGAGGGCAACUUUGGGGCCGUUCCUUGUCUAUGUUCCUUGGAACAGGACGUCAUAGAGGGUGAGAAUCCCGUGUGGCGAGGAGUGCGGUUCUUUGUAAAGUGCCUUCGAAGAGUCGAGUUGUUUGGGAAUGCAGCUCUAAGUGGGUGGUAAAUUCCAUCUAAAGCUAAAUAUUGGCGAGAGACCGAUAGCGAACAAGUACAGUGAUGGAAAGAUGAAAAGAACUUUGAAAAGAGAGUGAAAAAGUACGUGAAAUUGUUGAAAGGGAAGGGCAUUUGAUCAGACAUGGUGUUUUGUGCCCUCUGCUCCUUGUGGGUAGGGGAAUCUCGCAUUUCACUGGGCCAGCAUCAGUUUUGGUGGCAGGAUAAAUCCAUAGGAAUGUAGCUUGCCUCGGUAAGUAUUAUAGCCUGUGGGAAUACUGCCAGCUGGGACUGAGGACUGCGACGUAAGUCAAGGAUGCUGCAUAGACUGACA
Molecule: ribosomal RNA, 581 nt
Filed under: Saccharomyces cerevisiae (brewer's yeast)
Lineage: Eukaryota; Fungi; Ascomycota; Saccharomycetes; Saccharomycetales; Saccharomycetaceae
Description: eukaryotic LSU rRNA
Rfam family: Eukaryotic large subunit ribosomal RNA
Source: RNAcentral